UAAGAAUUAAUUUUAAGAAUUUUUUGCAUGUAACUUUUUUGAAGAUUUUAUUUUCUAAAUGAAUAUUCUUUAAUUUUCAGUAAUUAGUUUUAAUUUACAUUAGGUUUUUAAUUUGAUAAAUUUUUAUUAAAACAGGAAAAUGUUAUGCCAGCAUUCGCGGUUAUAUUUCAUGUUUAAGUUAAUUUUUUUUUUUGGAUUUCAGUUUAUUUUUUUAAAGUUUUUUAAUUUAGGUGAAAUUUAUUAAUUAAUUAUUUAUUUUAUCUGUUUAAUCUAAAUUUUAGACCAGGAUUAGAUACCCUGUUAUUUUAGUUAAUUUUUUAUAAUCCAGUUAGUAAAUAAUUUUUUUUUAAAUUUAAAAGAUCUGGCGGUUUUUAAAUCUUUUUAGAGGAACCUGUAAUUUAAAUGAUAAUCCACGAUUUAUUUUACCUUAAUUAUUUUGUAUAUCUCUGUCGUUGAUUAUAAUGAAAAUUUAUUUUCUUAUUAUUUUAUAAUUAUUAUGUUAGGUCAAGGUGCAAUUAUAUUUGGGUUAUUAUGGGUUACUAUAAUUUUUUUUUUUUGAUUUUUUAAUUUAUAUUAAAAUUGAAUAUGGAUUUAAAAGUAAUUUUUUUUUUUUAAUUUUUUGAAUUGAGUUCUUAUAAAUGUACAUAUCGCCCGUCAUUCCCAUUAAUUGGGACAAGUCGUAACAAAGUAGAUGUACUGGAAAGUGUAUCUAGAAA
This 716-nucleotide non-coding RNA is filed under the name Symplanella nigricans. Lineage: Eukaryota; Metazoa; Arthropoda; Insecta; Hemiptera; Caliscelidae. The record is from RNAcentral.